GUUGUUGUUUUUUUCUGUUUUGUUUAUUUUUGUUCGCUUUUUUAAAGACCUAUAUUUCCAAUAUGCCUUUUAUUUCUUUGGAUUUUUUCCAAUAAUUCACUCAAAAUAAAUGCCAAAAUUUAACAUACUUGGUUAAUUUUAUUGGAUCUUUACAAGACGUGUUCUCUCAAUACAUGCCGUGUUUUUAUCUUCCGGUCGUGCAAUUUUAUAUAUAUAUAUAUAUAUAUAUAUAUAUAUAUAUAUAUAUAUAUAUAUAUAUAUAUAAGCAUACAAUGAAAUUAAAAGGUAUAUUCUAGAGUUAUGCAGUGUUAUGAGUUGUCCAACCUCAUAGCCUUCCACUAGGUGGCUGUAUGUACAUCCGAAGUUGCUUGCAAUCCAUUAAUAAUGAUAAGAAGAAGUUAGGGUUGGCCCUAAUCUUAUUUUUAAUUUAAAAAAUUAAAAAUAAAAAUACGGAUGGAUUUGCUCAUAUGAUUAUAUGAAAAUCUGUGUUUGUACCAUAUGAAAAUGUUUAAUAUUUGUAUUAGUAGUAAUAAUAAUAAAUUACGGAUUGCACCCGACAAAACAUUAGAGAAGAAGAAGAAGAAGCUUACGUCAUUCGACGCGACACUUUCCACGGUCGGAGCUGGUGAGUAGCCCCUGAAUCUGUCAAAUAAAAAUGUAGUAAAAAACCUCAAAAGACCGAAAGUCUACAUUUAUAAAUCUGCUGAUGGUAGUUCUAUGAGUUAAUGUUAGCGAGUAUGUGGCACAGCAUGUGUUUGUACAGAUUUAGACACGUUUUUAACCCUAUUUGGUAGAAAAAAAAAGCUCGCUAAAGUAGCCUCUUAAAAGCCAGUCACAUUCAAAUGUAGCUGUCCUUCAUACCUUUAAUAACAAUGUGCUAAAAUUUUGUUUUUUUUAUUAUUAUUUUAUGCUUCUCGGUGUUACAGUAUUUCUGUCUUCUUUCUGUUCUCUCCCACUUUAGAACCAUGCCUAAAUAUAAGAGCAGUGUCCGUUGUAAGACCAAAAAAAUAAAAGUAACUCGGAAAACCAUCGGUGCUCGGGCGAAAUUUUCCUACAUUCCCUCACAUGCAGGCUCAUCUGACACCAACACUGUUUUUCCCUCAUCACAUGAUAUUUGUACUGAAAACUCAAAGGAAGAAGGGACCGCGUAUACCAGGGCAAAAAGGAAGGAGCUGAGCCUAUGGGAUACACUAAAAGAUCAGGUCUUGGAAGAGUCCUAUAAGUCCUCCGCUCCUUUCUCUGACAUGUGCUCUGUGUGCAAGAAACCUGGAGUAUACCGCUGUCUGGAAUGCAGCAGAAGCAGUGUUUUUUGCAAGGAUUGUGUCUACACAGUACACAUAAAUUCUUUGCACCUCCCUGAAAAGUGGAAUAAAACCUGCUAUGAGGCUGCUUUCCAGCAGUUGGUGUUGCAUUUAAGUGGGGAUCACAGCACCCAUGUUGUUUACUCCAGAGAUGUAAAGACUUUUGUCAACACAGGUCAUCUCAUUAAUUGCACAGUUUCUUUUUGUAAAUGCGAACCUGAGGUCUGCACUCUUCUGAAGUAUGGCCUUUGGCCUGCUUCACCGGAGAAGCCACAGGCUGCUUUUUCAAUGGCUCUUCUUGAGCUAUUUGUCCAUCUUUCUUUGGAGUGCCAGGUCUCUGUAGAGGGAUUCAUCAACACCUUACGGUGGAAAAACAAUCUUACUGUUAUGGAGGUUAAUAUGCUGUACAGAGCCCUAGUAGGAGAGUCUAUUUCCCAGUUUCGCCAUUAUCACUUCCGACGAAGAGAUUGUUCCAAGAUGGAAGAGGAACUAUGUGAUGAAGCUGACCGAAAUCAACCAGCUCAGAUCCGGAUCACAUAAACAGGAGUCACUCAUUGAAGAUGAAUCACAGCUGGACAGGGAUCUUCGAAUAAUUGAGAGACACCAUGGUGUAAAACGAAGGUGGCUCCCUUCGGAUGACAUUUUCCAGAGAACACUGAGAGAUGUUAACCAGGAACUUAGAGGUCAGCUGAUACGACGAGCACAAAAUGAAGCAAGGGAGAGGGCCACUCUUCUCAACCUGAAAAGAAGAUAUAAUGAUGGACAGGGAGUUGCUAUAAGGCUGUCCAAGCAAGUGAAUGCCUGUAACAGGAAACUGGAGAAGAUUGUUACAAUAAUCUGCAGUGGCCUCCAUAAACUGGCAUCUUUCCAUCACAUUUAGAAUUUCGAGAAUUGUGUGAUGCCUCCUCCCAGCUGUACACAUUGUUUGAUGAACAAAUUGAAGAUCAUGGUGUUGUUCCAAAGAACCUAAAAAGUCGAGCAAUAGAAGCCCUGCAUUUGAAGACUAGAGCAGCUGAAGAAAAGCUUCUACUUAAGAGAGAGAUGAACACUGUCAUUCUUCACCUUCAUCAACAACAUGGACAUUUAAGUUCAGCUAUAAAUGAUACUGCAGAUCCUGGUUCAAAAGCUGUACUUCAUCAAAACAUUAUCAUGUUAGAAAAGAAAAUGUACAGUGCAAUGAACAUGUUCAAGAGGUUUAUCGAAGUUGGUGCCCCUCCUCCAAAUCAUCACCUACCAGAGUUUAACUCUUAUUCUCAAGCACUUAUGUCUCCAGAUCUACAUUACAUAGACUAUGAUGAAAGCAUUGACGAUGGAGAGGAUGAAGAGGAUGAUGACGACAAUGUUGACGAAGGAGAGAACAGCAUAGAUUGUGAAUCAUCUUCAUGAUUUAUGGCCACUUACUGUCCUAUGUGAAGAGCACAUAUUCCAGUAUAAAAAGUGCAUUGUUUGAUGAUUUUCAUAUAAGCUUUUUGUUCUAACAUCUCAGUUUAUUGCUUUUGAUAUUGUUGAGACAUAUCUGUUUUUUAAGUCAAGCUAUAUAUAAUCAAGGGCAUUUUAGUUUUACUCAUUACAGCUUUGUACUCUUUUUCACAUUUAUUAAUGUUCUUGUUCAGUAUGACAUUGUUAAUGACUAAACUUCAUUUACAGUUUGAAUUUAACUCUUAAUUUUGAGAUGCUGCAUAAUGUGCUUUACAUAAUAUCUUUAAAUUUGGGCACAACAACAAAAUAACUAAAACGUAGUGGACAAAAAUUUUGUGAUGUUCAUAUUUGAGAAAUAUUUGACUGUUAUCCAAGAAUUACAUUAUUUUGAAGGGCACUACUCUGUAUUAAAAAUUCAUUAAGAGCUA
Xiphophorus hellerii (green swordtail) is the source of this 3148-nucleotide RNA transcript. RefSeq lists it as uncharacterized. NCBI's taxonomy places the organism in Eukaryota, Metazoa, Chordata, Actinopteri, Cyprinodontiformes, Poeciliidae. The record is from RefSeq and is a predicted model, not a curated record. The transcript is spliced from 9 exons.